Molecule: long non-coding RNA, 1189 nt
Filed under: Trifolium pratense (red clover)
Lineage: Eukaryota; Viridiplantae; Streptophyta; Magnoliopsida; Fabales; Fabaceae
Description: long non-coding RNA (TPRA_LNC001166)
Source: RNAcentral
GUGUUUGAUUUAUUUUGAUUGAACUUUGAAAUGGUUAGGGUGGCAUGGAAAUGUUGAGCAACGGACUCGAGGAAUAGCUAUGGCUACAACAGCUCCAGCAGUCGAAUCGGGCAUGAACCGUUGAAGUGAGGGAAGAUCUAUAUGUGUAAUUUUAUAUGUUACUAUGUACAAUUAUGGUAUUCUCAAGAAGAUAAGAUAUGUGAUGCGAGUUGUACCUUCUAUUUGCGGUGAAAACACACUUUGCUCUAGUUUGCAAUGUGUAAGUGUCAUCGGUAACAUGAAUAAAAGUAUUGCCAAGGUUUAUUAUGUAACACUUUUGAUAACAUUUGAUUUGAUCUUUUGAUAACUCUCUAGUAACCAAUGCACCGUGCAAAAUUAUGCCAAAUCCAACAAAUUUGGUUUAAAUUUGGGAACAUAGCUCAUAUCUCGCAAAAGGAAUUUAUAGUUGUGAAACAUGUUAAGGAGAACCAUACACCGUACUCAUACAUUGAACCUUGCGAGCUUUGUUGUUACCAAGGCGAACAACUUCACAUUCUAUAAACACAUGUGAUAAGAGCAUUUUGAGCUCAUGACCCGACUCUUCUCAGUUUCCAAACUAGUCAACACUAGUGUUCCCUCAUUCUCAUCAUCCUCCUCCGAGACAACCACAAUUUAAACAAAAUUGCUCUUGCGAUUCUCUUAAUAUAUAUUCAAAUAAUAUUGCAGAUCGGUCUACAAAAACUAUAAUAUUGCAGUACUAAUCUACAAAAACUACUUGUGCAAUAUAGAUAUCCAGAUCGGUCCAUUGACAAAAAGGAGACACAACACACUUAUCCAAACAAUUUGCUUUAACUCAUUUUUACUACAUAAUUACUAGUAUUAAGAAAAAAAAUUAUAAGGCACGAUAGGAGUUGAUAAAAAGAUACAUCUUUCACUUUAUAAACUACCUUAAUUUUUAAGGAUGAUUUAGACUCAAUAUAAAAAUAUAUUUUAAUGAUGUACAAAAGCAUUAGUCCAAUAAUCAUAUAGUUCGUUGAUGCUGUCGGCGAUACAUCAAGGCACUAAGGUCCCUCAUGGUGGAAUCGGACACGUCCUCCUCCUCCUCCUCCUCCUAAACCUCUAGUUGAAUGGUUCAUCGGUCUUUUUGACGGUUGCUUAUCCCGAAAAAUAUAAUGUAAGUUCCUCAUCCUUUUCUCAACUAAUUAUAAGU